GACGAACGCUGGCGGCGUGCUUAACACAUGCAAGUCGAACGAUGAAGCUGGAGCUUGCUCCGGUGGAUUAGUGGCGAACGGGUGAGUAACACGUGAGCAAUCUGCCCUUGACUCUGGGAUAACUGCGGGAAACUGUAGCUAAUACCGGAUACUUUCACUGGAAGGCAUCUUCUGGUGAAGAAAGAAUUUCGGUCAAGGAUGAGCUCGCGGCCUAUCAGCUUGUUGGUGAGGUAACGGCUCACCAAGGCGACGACGGGUAGCCGGCCUGAGAGGGUGACCGGCCACACUGGGACUGAGACACGGCCCAGACUCCUACGGGAGGCAGCAGUGGGGAAUAUUGCACAAUGGGCGCAAGCCUGAGGCAGCAACGCCGCGUGAGGGAUGAAGGCCUUCGGGUUGUAACCUCUUUUAGCAGGGAAGAAGCGAAAGUGACGGUACCUGCAGAAAAAGCACCGGCUAACUACGUGCCAGCAGCCGCCGUAA
This 483-nucleotide ribosomal RNA is filed under the name uncultured bacterium. Its description in RNAcentral is "partial 16S ribosomal RNA". It matches the Rfam family "Bacterial small subunit ribosomal RNA", at positions 28 to 523 of the family's 1533-position model. The record is from RNAcentral.